Molecule: long non-coding RNA, 198 nt
Organism: Etheostoma cragini (Arkansas darter)
Lineage: Eukaryota; Metazoa; Chordata; Actinopteri; Perciformes; Percidae
Exons: 2
Source: RefSeq, a predicted model, not a curated record
UUUUUUUCAUGACUAUUUACGUUGUAGAUUAUCACUGAAGGCAUCAACACUAUGAAUGACCACGUGGAGUUAUGUACUUAACAAAAAAGUGUGAAAUAACUGAUAACAUGUCUUAUAUUUUAGAUUCCUUAAAGUAGCCACCUUUUGCUUUUUUGAUAGUGCUGCAAACCCUUGGUGUUCUCUCAAUGAGCUUCAUGA